GGCCCUGGAACCUCCCAGGUGUUACCUUCUUUUGGUUUUGUUCCAUGGAAAGUUCCAAGUACAUCUGAAGGAUCCCUUUCCCAUAUACAAGUCUCACAUUGCUCAGUGAGUCCUGCUCACCUGUGAAGCAGAACAAAGCGCCCUGCAUAGUGAAGAGAGACAAGGCAGUAGCAAAGGAUCCAGGGUUUGUUGACAUUCAGUGCUGUGACUGUGGACUUCUUGUAGGAGGAAUGGGAAUGCUUCAGCCUUGCUGAUGGGGCUUUCUGCAGAGAUCUGUUGGAGAA
This is a non-coding RNA of Peromyscus maniculatus bairdii (prairie deer mouse), 284 nucleotides long. Lineage: Eukaryota; Metazoa; Chordata; Mammalia; Rodentia; Cricetidae. The record is from RefSeq and is a predicted model, not a curated record.